This 4123-nucleotide long non-coding RNA is filed under the name Lactuca sativa (garden lettuce). Its description in RNAcentral is "long non-coding RNA (LSAT_LNC000060)". Lineage: Eukaryota; Viridiplantae; Streptophyta; Magnoliopsida; Asterales; Asteraceae. The record is from RNAcentral.
AUAAGAUGUCUAUAAUGGGGCAUAGGAUCAAGAUCAUGCCAUACUCCACCUUCCGGUUAAAUCUAUCUGUCACUUCACCAUACAAUGCUGAUUUUGAUGGAGAUGAAAUGAACAUGCAUGUGCCUCAGUCAUUUGAAACAAGAGCAGAGGUUCUGGAGCUGAUGAUGGUGCCUAAAUGCAUAGUAUCACCUCAGGCCAAUCGGCCAGUUAUGGGUAUCGUGCAGGAUACACUCUUAGGUUGUCGUAAAGUCACCAAGAGAGAUACUUUUAUUGAAAAGGUGAUACUUUUAAGCCUUUCAAGACUUUCGAGAUGAUAGUUAAACAUCUUUGAUUUGACCUUUGAUGACCUUGUUUGAUAUGCAGGAUGUUUUCAUGAACAUAUUGAUGUGGUGGGAGGAUUUUGAUGGAAAAGUACCAACACCUACCAUUCUGAAACCUAGACCUUUAUGGACUGGGAAACAAGUGUUCAAUCUCAUCAUUCCAAAGCAGAUCAAUCUGAUUAGGACAGCAGCUUGGCAUUCGGAAACUGAAACCGGGCAUAUGACACCGGGUGAUACUCAAGUUCGAAUAGAGAAGGGAGAGGUUAUAACUGGCACCCUUUGUAAAAAAACCCUCGGUGCAUCUACAGGGAGUUUGAUACAUGUCAUCUGGUGUGUUUUCUCUUUCUGUACUUGUGUGACAUGGUAAUUAGUAAUUAGUUGGUGUGGGUGUAAUUUAUGUUUAUAAUCAUCCAUUCAUUCAUGUUACAGGGAGGAAGUUGGUCCAGAUGCUGCCCGCAAGUUUCUUGGACAUACCCAGUGGCUUGUUAACUACUGGCUUUUGCAACAAGGGUUCAGCAUUGGCAUUGGAGACACCAUUGCUGAUGCAGCAACCAUGGAAACCAUCAAUGAAACUAUUUCAAAAGCCAAGAAUGAGGUGAAAGAACUUAUUAGAACUGCUCAUGAUAAACAGCUGGAGCCAGAGCCUGGUCGAACUAUGAUGGAGUCAUUUGAAAACAGAGUGAAUCAGGUACUACCCCCAUUCAUUGUGAUAACUUCCACAAUCACCAUGGCUACACUACACUGGUUAUGUGAUUAUGAAAUAGUAACAUGGUGUAAAUUGUGUUCAGGUCCUGAACAAGGCUCGUGAUGACGCAGGAAGUAGUGCUCAGAAAAGUUUAUCAGAAAGCAACAAUCUCAAGGCUAUGGUGACAGCAGGUUCCAAAGGAAGUUUCAUCAAUAUAUCUCAAAUGACUGCUUGUGUGGGACAACAGAACGUUGAGGGUAAACGAAUCCCGUAUGGGUUCAUAGAUCGAACGCUUCCUCAUUUCACAAAAGAUGAUAAUGGACCUGAAAGUCGUGGGUUUGUGGAGAACUCUUAUCUUCGAGGUUUGACACCACAAGAGUUCUUCUUUCACGCCAUGGGAGGUAGAGAAGGUCUGAUUGAUACUGCUGUGAAAACAUCAGAAACUGGUUAUAUUCAGAGGAGACUGGUGAAAGCUAUGGAAGACAUCAUGGUGAAGUAUGAUGGUACUGUGAGGAACUCUCUUGGUGAUGUUAUCCAGUUUCUUUAUGGAGAAGAUGGAAUGGAUGCGGUUUGGAUCGAGUCUCAGAAACUUGAUUCUUUGAAAAUCAAGAAAAAGGAGUUUGAUCGGCUUUUCAAGUAUGAAAUUGAUGAUGAAAACUGGAAUCCAAGUUACAUGCUUCCAGAACAUGUGGAGGAUUUGAAAACAAUCCGGGAGUUCCGGAACGUGUUCGAUGCCGAAGUACAAAAACUAGAAGCCGAUCGUGUCCAGCUUGGAACUGAAAUUGCCACCACUGGUGACAACACAUGGCCCAUGCCUGUAAACCUCAAAAGGUUGAUUUGGAAUGCACAAAAGACAUUCAAGGUUGAUUUGAGAAGGCCAUCUGAUAUGCAUCCUAUGGAAAUCGUGGAAGCUGUUGAUAAGCUUCAAGAAAGGCUGCGUGUUGUCCCGGGUGAUGAUCAGUUGAGUAUUGAAGCCCAAAAGAACGCCACCCUUUUCUUCAAUAUUCUCCUUCGUAGUACUUUUGCUAGCAAGAGGGUGUUGAGUGAGUACAGGUUGACCCGUGAGGCGUUUGAAUGGGUUAUCGGUGAGAUAGAGUCCAGAUUCCUGCAGUCGCUUGUUGCACCCGGGGAAAUGAUUGGGUGUGUUGCGGCCCAGUCUAUCGGUGAACCUGCGACACAGAUGACCCUAAACACCUUCCAUUAUGCUGGUGUGAGUGCUAAGAAUGUUACCCUGGGUGUACCCCGAUUGAGGGAGAUUAUCAAUGUUGCUAAGAAGAUCAAAACCCCUUCGUUGUCAGUCUAUUUGAAGCCUGAGGUUAGUAAAACAAAAGAUCGGGCCAAAAACGUGCAGUGUGCUUUGGAGUACACCACACUACGGAGUGUGACUCAAGCCACUGAAGUGUGGUAUGACCCGGAUCCCAUGAGUACAAUCAUCGAAGAAGAUGUUGACUUUGUCAAAUCUUACUAUGAAAUGCCCGAUGAAGAGAUCGACCCGGAUAAGAUAUCUCCCUGGUUGCUCCGUAUUGAGUUGAAUCGUGAGAUGAUGGUUGACAAGAAGCUGAGCAUGGCGGAUAUUGCUGAAAAGAUCAAUCUUGAAUUCGACGAUGAUUUGACAUGUAUAUUUAACGAUGACAAUGCUGAAAAGUUGAUUUUGAGAAUACGUAUCAUGAAUGAUGAAGCCCCGAAAGGCGAAAUGCAAGACGAAUCGGCUGAGGACGAUGUCUUCCUUAAAAAGAUUGAAAGUAAUAUGUUGACAGAAAUGGCGUUGCGUGGGAUUCCCGAUAUCAACAAGGUGUUUAUCAAAUCAGGGAAAGUCAACAAGUUUGAUGAGAACGAAGGGUUCAAGCCCGAAAACGAAUGGAUGUUGGAUACAGAAGGUGUGAAUCUUUUAGCCGUGAUGUGUCAUGAAGACGUGGAUGCGUUGAGAUCCACCAGUAAUCAUCUGAUUGAAGUGAUUGAGGUUCUUGGGAUUGAAGCUGUUAGAAGGUCGUUGCUGGACGAACUUCGGGUGGUGAUUUCGUUUGAUGGGUCGUAUGUGAAUUACCGACAUUUGGCUAUUUUAUGUGAUACCAUGACGUACCGUGGGCAUCUUAUGGCUAUCACACGACACGGGAUCAACAGAAAUGAUACGGGCCCCAUGAUGAGGUGUUCGUUUGAAGAAACGGUUGAUAUUCUUCUUGAUGCUGCGGUUUAUGCGGAAACCGAUUAUCUCCGGGGUGUUACUGAGAACAUAAUGCUGGGGCAGCUUGCUCCUAUUGGGACCGGAGACUGUGCUUUGUUGUUGAACGAAGAGAUGUUACAGCAAGCGAUUGAUGUUCAGCUUCCGAGUUACAUGGACGGGCUGGAUAUCGGGAUGACACCUGGGCGGUCCCCCAUUACUCCUUUCCACGAUGGUGCAAUGUCUCCCACGAAUUAUCUGUUGAGCCCAAAUCUACGGCUGUCUCCGAUUAACGAUGCACAGUUUUCGCCUUAUGUUGGUGGGAUGGGUUUUUCGCCAACUUCAUCACCGGGCUAUAGCCCGUCGUCCCCCGGGUACAGCCCAUCAUCUCCGGGAUACAGCCCCACCUCGCCUGGUUAUAGCCCAACCUCACCGGGCUAUAGCCCUACAUCUCCGGGUUACAGUCCCACCUCUCCAACUUACAGCCCAAGUUCACCCGGUUAUAGCCCAACAAGUCCUACCUACUCACCCACUUCACCUAGCUACUCCCCUACCUCACCAAGCUACUCACCCACAUCACCUAGCUACAGCCCUACAUCGCCAGCUUACAGCCCGACCUCUCCGGCUUACAGCCCGACCUCUCCUUCCUACAGCCCGACAUCACCAUCCUACAGCCCAACCUCACCCUCCUACAGCCCAACCUCACCCUCUUACAGCCCGACCUCUCCUUCCUACAGCCCAACAUCACCAUCCUACAGCCCGACCUCCCCUUCCUACAGCCCAACCUCCCCUGCUUACAGCCCAACUUCACCUGGGUACAGUCCUACUUCCCCAAGCUACAGUCCUACUUCUCCAAGUUACAGUCCCACCUCACCAAGUUACAACCCUUCAUCCGCUAAGUACAGCCCCUCGUUGGCUUAUUCUCCUAGUAGUCCAUACAGCCCUACAUCCCCCAACUAC